Molecule: non-coding RNA, 26 nt
Filed under: Rattus norvegicus (Norway rat)
Lineage: Eukaryota; Metazoa; Chordata; Mammalia; Rodentia; Muridae
Source: RNAcentral
UGGGUACCAAGAUGCCUAGCACCAAA